Molecule: unclassified non-coding RNA, 334 nt
Filed under: soil metagenome
Description: partial contains 5.8S ribosomal RNA, internal transcribed spacer 2, and large subunit ribosomal RNA
Rfam family: 5.8S ribosomal RNA (bases 1-120)
Source: RNAcentral
GAUGAAGAACGUAGCGAAAUGCGAUACGUAAUGUGAAUUGCAGAUUUCAGUGAAUCAUCGAAUCUUUGAACGCACAUUGCGCCCGCUAGUAUUCUGGCGGGCAUGCCUGUUCGAGCGUCAUUUCAACCAUCAAGCCCUGUGCUUGUGUUGGAGCCCUGCGGCUGCCGCAGGCUCCCAAACCCAGUGGCGGGCUCGUCGUCGUACCGAGUGCAGUAAACAUACCACGCUCAGGGCACGCGACGGGUGACCGGCCGUAAAACCCCCCCCCUUCUCAAGGUUGACCUCGGAUCAGGUAGGAAUACCCGCUGAACUUAAGCAUAUCAAUAAGCGGAGA